AGUGAACGCUGGCGGUAGGCCUAACACAUGCAAGUCAAACGGCAGCACAGUAAGAGCUUGCUCUUACGGGUGGCGAGUGGCGGACGGGUGAGGAAUACAUCGGAAUCUACUUUUUCGUGGGGGAUAACGUAGGGAAACUUACGCUAAUACCGCAUACGACCUACGGGUGAAAGCAGGGGAUCUUCGGACCUUGCGCGAUUGAAUGAGCCGAUGUCGGAUUAGCUAGUUGGCGGGGUAAAGGCCCACCAAGGCGACGAUCCGUAGCUGGUCUGAGAGGAUGAUCCGCCACACUGGAACUGAGACACGGUCCAGACUCCUACGGGAGGCAGCAGUGGGGAAUAUUGGACAAUGGGCGCAAGCCUGAUCCAGCCAUACCGCGUGGGUGAAGAAGGCCUUCGGGUUGUAAAGCCCUUUUGUUGGGAAAGAAAAGCAGCAGGUUAAUACCCCGCUGUUCUGACGGUACCCAAAGAAUAAGCACCGGCUAACUUCGUG
Molecule: ribosomal RNA, 492 nt
Filed under: uncultured bacterium
Lineage: Bacteria
Description: partial 16S ribosomal RNA
Rfam family: Bacterial small subunit ribosomal RNA
Source: RNAcentral